RNAcentral lists this ribosomal RNA (423 nucleotides) under uncultured bacterium. RNAcentral describes it as "bacterial SSU rRNA". It matches the Rfam family "Bacterial small subunit ribosomal RNA", at positions 358 to 773 of the family's 1533-position model. The record is from RNAcentral.
GGGAUAUUGGACAAUGGGCGCAAGCCUGAUCCAGCCAUGCCGCGUGUGUGAAGAAGGCCUUCGGGUUGUAAAGCACUUUUGUACGGGAAGAAAAGCAUCCGGUUAAUACCCGGGUGUCAUGACGGUACCGUAAGACUAAGCACCGGCUAACUUCGUGCCAGCAGCCGCGGUAAUACGAAGGGUGCAAGCGUUACUCGGAAUUACUGGGCGUAAAGCGUGCGUAGGUGGUUUGUUAAGUCUGAUGUGAAAGCCCUGGGCUCAACCUGGGAAUUGCAUUGGAUACUGGCAGUCUAGAGUGCGGUAGAGUGUAGCGGAAUUCCCGGUGUAGCAGUGGAAUGCGUAGAGAUCGGGAGGAACAUCUGUGGCGAAGGCGGCCACCUGGACCAGCACUGACACUGAGGCACGAAAGCGUGGGGAGCAAAC